RNAcentral lists this ribosomal RNA (246 nucleotides) under uncultured bacterium. Its description in RNAcentral is "partial 16S ribosomal RNA". It matches the Rfam family "Bacterial small subunit ribosomal RNA", at positions 524 to 769 of the family's 1533-position model. The record is from RNAcentral.
UACGUAGGGUGCGAGCGUUAAUCGGAAUUACUGGGCGUAAAGCGUGCGCAGGCGGUCUGUUAAGACCGAUGUGAAAUCCCCGGGCUUAACCUGGGAACUGCAUUGGUGACUGGCAGGCUUUGAGUGUGGCAGAGGGAGGUAGAAUUCCACGUGUAGCAGUGAAAUGCGUAGAGAUGUGGAGGAAUACCGAUGGCGAGGCAGCCCCCUGGGAUAACACUGACGCUCAUGCACGAAAGCGUGGGGAGC